This 491-nucleotide ribosomal RNA is filed under the name uncultured Acidobacteriaceae bacterium. Its description in RNAcentral is "bacterial SSU rRNA". It matches the Rfam family "Bacterial small subunit ribosomal RNA", at positions 8 to 477 of the family's 1533-position model. The record is from RNAcentral. Lineage: Bacteria; Pseudomonadati; Acidobacteriota; Terriglobia; Terriglobales; Acidobacteriaceae.
AGAGUUUGAUCAUGGCUCAGAACGAACGCUGGCGGCGUGCCUAACACAUGCAAGUCGAACGAGAAAGCGGGCUUCGGCCCGUGAGUAAAGUGGCAGACGGGUGAGUAACACGUGGGUAACCUGCCCGGAGGUGUGGGAUAACUCUCCGAAAGGAGGGCUAAUACCGCAUGAUACUUCGGUCUCUUCGGGGACCGGAUUCAAAGCUUGCCUCUACACGUAAGCAAGCGCCACCGGAGGGGCCCGCGCCCCAUUAGCUAGUUGGUGAGGUAACGGCUCACCAAGGCGACGAUGGGUAGCCGGCCUGAGAGGGUGAUCGGCCACACUGGAACUGAGACACGGUCCAGACUCCUACGGGAGGCAGCAGUGAGGAAUAUUGCGCAAUGGGCGAAAGCCUGACGCAGCGACGCCGCGUGGAGGACGAAGGUCUUCGGAUCGUAAACUCCUGUCAAGAGGGACGAAUCCCGGGCGGAUGAAUAAGCCGAACGGUGACG